AAAUUGAAGAGUUUGAUCAUGGCUCAGAUUGAACGCUGGCGGCAGGCCUAACACAUGCAAGUCGAGCGGUAGCACAGAGAGCUUGCUCUCGGGUGACGAGCGGCGGACGGGUGAGUAAUGUCUGGGAAACUGCCUGAUGGAGGGGGAUAACUACUGGAAACGGUAGCUAAUACCGCAUAAUGUCGCAAGACCAAAGUGGGGGACCUUCGGGCCUCAUGCCAUCAGAUGUGCCCAGAUGGGAUUAGCUAGUAGGUGGGGUAAUGGCUCACCUAGGCGACGAUCCCUAGCUGGUCUGAGAGGAUGACCAGCCACACUGGAACUGAGACACGGUCCAGACUCCUACGGGAGGCAGCAGUGGGGAAUAUUGCACAAUGGGCGCAAGCCUGAUGCAGCCAUGCCGCGUGUGUGAAGAAGGCCUUCGGGUUGUAAAGCACUUUCAGCGGGGAGGAAGGCGUUAAGGUUAAUAACCUUGGCGAUUGACGUUACCCGCAGAAGAAGCACCGGCUAACUCCGUGCCAGCAGCCGCGGUAAUACGGAGGGUGCAAGCGUUAAUCGGAAUUACUGGGCGUAAAGCGCACGCAGGCGGUCUGUCAAGUCGGAUGUGAAAUCCCCGGGCUCAACCUGGGAACUGCAUUCGAAACUGGCAGGCUAGAGUCUUGUAGAGGGGGGUAGAAUUCCAGGUGUAGCGGUGAAAUGCGUAGAGAUCUGGAGGAAUACCGGUGGCGAAGGCGGCCCCCUGGACAAAGACUGACGCUCAGGUGCGAAAGCGUGGGGAGCAAACAGGAUUAGAUACCCUGGUAGUCCACGCCGUAAACGAUGUCGAUUUGGAGGUUGUGCCCUUGAGGCGUGGCUUCCGGAGCUAACGCGUUAAAUCGACCGCCUGGGGAGUACGGCCGCAAGGUUAAAACUCAAAUGAAUUGACGGGGGCCCGCACAAGCGGUGGAGCAUGUGGUUUAAUUCGAUGCAACGCGAAGAACCUUACCUGGUCUUGACAUCCACAGAACUUUCCAGAGAUGGAUUGGUGCCUUCGGGAACUGUGAGACAGGUGCUGCAUGGCUGUCGUCAGCUCGUGUUGUGAAAUGUUGGGUUAAGUCCCGCAACGAGCGCAACCCUUAUCCUUUGUUGCCAGCGGUCCGGCCGGGAACUCAAAGGAGACUGCCAGUGAUAAACUGGAGGAAGGUGGGGAUGACGUCAAGUCAUCAUGGCCCUUACGACCAGGGCUACACACGUGCUACAAUGGCAUAUACAAAGAGAAGCGACCUCGCGAGAGCAAGCGGACCUCAUAAAGUAUGUCGUAGUCCGGAUUGGAGUCUGCAACUCGACUCCAUGAAGUCGGAAUCGCUAGUAAUCGUAGAUCAGAAUGCUACGGUGAAUACGUUCCCGGGCCUUGUACACACCGCCCGUCACACCAUGGGAGUGGGUUGCAAAAGAAGUAGGUAGCUUAACCUUCGGGAGGGCGCUUACCACUUUGUGAUUCAUGACUGGGGUGAAGUCGUAACAAGGUAACCGUAGGGGAACCUGCGGUUGGAUCACCUCCUUACCUUAAAGAA
This 1550-nucleotide ribosomal RNA is filed under the name Klebsiella pneumoniae. RNAcentral's name for it is "bacterial SSU rRNA". It matches the Rfam family "Bacterial small subunit ribosomal RNA". The record is from RNAcentral. Lineage: Bacteria; Pseudomonadati; Pseudomonadota; Gammaproteobacteria; Enterobacterales; Enterobacteriaceae.